CCCCUUUUCAUUAGAAGUCAUUGAUCUGGAAAAAAAACCUUCUACUUCCAUCAUCUGUCUUUUGCUUAGAAUUCACCCUUUGUUAUUUGCAGAGAACAUGUUCAUUCAGAAUUAAUAAAAUCGAAUAUGGUUAAGAUAGUUGGUAUACAACUUUUUAAAACAAAAAUAUUUUAAUGAACAGCUGACAAGUUUCCGUAGUUUGACAUUUAUUUACGCUUCCGCGUGCAUCAUUUUUAAAACCUAUCUUUGGCAGGUAGAUAUAAACCAAACUUCGUUAAAGUUAAGACUAUUGGAAUUAUUUACUAGUGACAUUAUACAGAAACCGCGGCGAUUCCGUACCCGUGAUGAUUGUCACAUAAAAUGUUCCCGACGCACGGACUCACGAUCGAUGUUCAAUGAUCAUUUUAUUUCUAAAAAUAUGACAGUUUGAAACGAAUUUACCUUGCAAGCAACAUUUUUCACUUUCAAUUAAAAUAAAUCACUUCUCGUUAUCUUUAAUCAAAGUUUAUUUUUAUUUUUUCAACUACAAAUACUCUCAUUCAUAAUUUUCAUCGUAAAUGUAUUCAAAUCUAUCACGUGUAUUGAACUGGUUCAUUGGUCGUGUUUAAAUAGAUUCUUCUUCUCGACCAAUGAAAAAAUUCGUUAAAUAAAUGGUCAAGUAAUCACACACACGAUGCCUAACUUAAAUACAAUGUAUUUGCGAUCUAUUUCUUCAAUUUCUGCACUGAAGUUUUAAAUUUUUUUAAUUUUCUUCUAAAAAUAUCUAUCUUCUUGAUGAUCAUUUACGCUAUUACAUGAUAACAUAGUCCGAUAAGGCUGAGAUAAGCGUGGCUCAGGUAAAACUAUAUUAUCAGAUAUUGCGUAACACUGACGACCUCUCAGCGGUGAUCAGCAUGUCAGCAACUUGACAAUUUUAACCAAAUUUAUAAUGAAAAUGUGAAAAUUAACACGCUGCGGGAUCAAGUAGUAAGGGACAGCGGCCAAUUAAGACGCUGCGGGAUUAACGAAAAUUUUAUGAAGGCGCUGCGGCACCGCAGCGUCAUAUCGGCCUGGGGAGAACACUGCUCAAGUUUGCAAUUGAUAGAAACUCAUGCAGUUUAUCUUACCUUCUCAACAAAAAACCUGAUGUUUGUAGUUGACUUAAUAUUUAUAGUAUAUAUUAUCAAACUGUUAAAAUCUGUAUGUAAAAUAUACACACAUAGAUAAUUAAUCAGAAUCUCCAACAUUAAUAAAAGCUUGCCAAAUUGUUUGUGUUUAGGAGAAAAUGCAAAAGUGCUGGAUGGCAAUGUACAACAUUCUAUUAAAAAAAGUUAGUGUCUGUACCUUAAAUUUUCAAAAUGUUAAAUUUUCCCAUCUUGCAAUUCUGAUUCGGAUCAUAUUUUAAGAUAUUAAGGACUUUCUUAUCCUAGGCAUAGAUUACCUUAGCCUUAUCAUGCUUAUUUUGCACAAUGAUUUGGAAUUUUGAGUCGCCUAUGCUCUUCACCUUUAUACUUGUUUGGCUUUCUAACUAUUUUGAUCUGCGUGUCACUUAUGUUGAUGAAACACUCAUCUGUCGUAUCAAACUAUAAGUUCACAAAAACUCUAUUGUUACAGCCAAUUUUUGGCUACUGCAUUUAACAUUUGAUAUGUAUUAUAACCAAUUUAAAACCCUGUGAAUUACAAAAUUGAAUGAAUGGAGAAUCAAUGUAAUAAUAGUUUCAAAACCUGAAAAUUGUGUUAUCUGUAGUUGGUUAUGGAUAAAUUAAUUGGAAUCUAUUUUUCUCACGAAUAAAAGAAUUUUAGACUUUUUAUAAGGUUUGUAUUAACAUGAGCGACACAACAGAUGCCACAAGUGGGGUUGGAUCUUCUCGCCCUUCUGGAGUAACUGAGAUCACCCCCAGUUAGUUGCUUAGUCUAAACUCUUUAGUUUUCUAUGUUAUGUCUUUUGAACUAUUGUUUGUCUGUUUCUCUUUUUUUAGCCAUGCAUGGCAUUGUCAGUUUAUUUUAGAUCUAUGAGUUUGAAUGUCCCUUUGUUAUCUUUUCCCCCUCUUUUAAUUAAGUUAACUAAAUGGUUCCUCAACUUUUCAUAAAUAGUCCUUUCUUAUUCUGGUAAAAGAAAGUUGUUUACAUUUACAUUCUAGUGUAGAAAAGACUGAAUAACAUAUAUUAAAUAAUAUAUAAGUCAUUUA
RNAcentral lists this long non-coding RNA (2168 nucleotides) under Mytilus galloprovincialis (Mediterranean mussel). The record is from RNAcentral. Lineage: Eukaryota; Metazoa; Mollusca; Bivalvia; Mytilida; Mytilidae.